GUUUUACAUUUGCUUUUAAGCUAAUAAGACAUUCUUUAAGAAUUGUGACAAAGGCAUCCUACAUAAAACAAUCAAGGAACAUCAUUUCGAUAUCCUUUGCUUGUUCAGCAGGCAAAGAUGCACAAGGUAUAAAGAAAUUUGGAUUGUAUCGGAGUGCACACCCGAACGGGCUUUUAUUUCCCUUCUCCUCGAGCCGUCAGGCCCCCACCUAGCAAUGAGAACAUUGAAAGGAGGAUUGAGAAGUCAAGACUAGCACAUCCAUCACAUUAAUGAUCCUUCCGCAGGUUCACCUACGGAAA
Molecule: unclassified non-coding RNA, 299 nt
Filed under: uncultured fungus
Lineage: Eukaryota; Fungi
Description: sequence contains ITS1
Source: RNAcentral